Molecule: ribosomal RNA, 1617 nt
Filed under: Niphargus sp. NA050
Lineage: Eukaryota; Metazoa; Arthropoda; Malacostraca; Amphipoda; Niphargidae
Description: eukaryotic LSU rRNA
Rfam family: Eukaryotic large subunit ribosomal RNA (bases 1182-1617)
Source: RNAcentral
GGAAGUAAAAGUCGUAACAAGGUUUCCGUAGGUGAACCUGCGGAAGGAUCAUUAACGAUUGCUUAACACGCAAAACAAACAAGGACGACGUAUGGUUAAAAAGCUAAAAACUCCUGACGAGUUCAGGAAGGAUGAUGCCUCUCUUUCUUUCUCUGGCUCUAGCUAGCGAAGAUCGAGAAAUGGCCAUCGUGGUCGUUGUGCGUCUGCACUGCGAACGAUGUAAAACAAACAACCGAUGGCCUCUCAUACAGUAUAAUAUCUCUCGCCAUGGCAUACAGGCCUGGCAUCUGGUACGAGUCUCUCGCAGUCUCAAAACCAACCUUACAACUCUGAGCGGUGGAUCACUUGGCUUGUGGAUGCUAUGAAGACCAUAGCUAAGUGUGAGAAUGGCAGCGAGCCGUCGCUAUAUGCGCUGUCCUCUUCUUAUCACAUGUCGAAUGCACAUUGCGCCCCACCCAGCGGUCGGCUAACCUCCUGCAGACAAAAGCCUGUGUGUUGGAACAAAGGCGGUGUGUGGCCCUCGAGCAACGGCGGGGGAGCCAGGAGCACAUUAGCGUGCGGACCAACCACUCGUUAGUAGUCAGGCUGAACCCUAUGGUGGGGCACUCCUAGUGGAGUGUGGUGGAUCGGGCUCUUCUCUUAUUGCGCUUUUGCGCGAAAAGCAGUUUGAGUUUUUUUGUUGCUGGUUGCAUUUGGGUCGACAUCAGUCGUGCCCGCAAACAACUGCCUUGGCUCGUGCCUCUGUGCGUUCGGUUUUACCUCAAGCAGGUGCGUACAUUGAAGGCCAACGCUGGCGAUCCCUCGUGCGGCCAGGGCACUACCUUCGCGGUAGUGCGCAGAGGUCCAAAAGGAAAAUCGUAAUACGAGAGUCGGGUCUCUGGUGCUCUGUCUCGCUCACGCAAAGUGAGUGGUUUGGUGAUUCGGUGUCCCUGCGUAUACGCUUGUCUGGUAAAGGUUCGUCUCUCGUACUAUUCGAGAAUGACGCUAACCUCACCUCUUUUUCUUGUUUCGCACGCAUGCUUUCAGACGAACAAACGCCUGACGAGUUCAGGACGGAUUUUCUAACAGUGUGAAGAAAAAGUAACAGAUCGGCCUGCAGCAUCGCGCCACUCCACGUUUGUAGCUUUGUGUGCAUGCGCAGGAAUGAGAGAGACCCCGGCUGCUCGUGUCUGUAAAAUCCACCACCUCGACUUAGGAGAGGUUACCCGCUGAACUUAAGCAUAUCAGUAAGCGGAGGAAAAGAAACCAAUCAGGGAUUCCCUUAGUAGGGGCGACCGAAAAGGGAUGAGCCCAGCGCAGAACCUCCCGGGCCACCCGGCCUGCGGCGGAAUGUUGCGUUAAGGGAAAGGUCGUAGUCAAACCCCACAGCCACGCGAGCACUAAGUAAGUCACGAAUUGGCUAUCCCAACUAACGGCGGGAAAAUCUCCACGGAGGGUGUAAGACCCGUGUGGGCGCGUGUAAAUGCUGUGUGGGCUCGGCCUCUUUUCCCUGAGAGUCGCGUUGCUUGAGCAUGCAGCGCUAAGCAGGUCGUAAACUCGAUCUAAGGCUAAAUAUGUCCACAAGACCGAUAGCGAACAAGUACCGUGAGGGAAAGUGAAAAGCACUCUGAAGAGAGA